GUCCACGCCCUAAACGAUGCCGACUAGUUGUUGGGGGAGUUAAAUCCCUUAGUAACGCAGCUAACGCGUGAAGUCGGCCGCCUGGGGGAGUACGGUCGCAAGAUUAAAAACUCAAAGGAAUUGACGGGGGCCCGCACAAGCGGUGGAUGAUGUGGUUUAAUUCGACGCAACGCGAAAAACCUUACCUACCCUUGACAUGUGCGGAAUCCUGCAGAGAUGCAGGAGUGCCCGAAAGGGACCGCAACACAGGUGCUGCAUGGCUGUCGU
This 267-nucleotide ribosomal RNA is filed under the name uncultured bacterium. RNAcentral's name for it is "partial 16S ribosomal RNA". It matches the Rfam family "Bacterial small subunit ribosomal RNA", at positions 793 to 1055 of the family's 1533-position model. The record is from RNAcentral.